This is a long non-coding RNA of Solanum dulcamara, 618 nucleotides long. RefSeq lists it as uncharacterized. Lineage: Eukaryota; Viridiplantae; Streptophyta; Magnoliopsida; Solanales; Solanaceae. The transcript has 3 exons. The record is from RefSeq and is a predicted model, not a curated record.
CUGUCCAGUGGAUUCAAUGGAAGAAUCGAUUAAGUAACUUCAGGAAGAUGAUGAGGCAUAUUAAGAGAAAAAUGAUGGAAUAUGCAGUAUCCAAUCAGAAGGAAGUUGCUUACGAAAAACUAUUCAUUGAACUUCUGCAAAAUAAGGAACAAGAAGAUAUAGGGAUUAAACUUAUCGGCAUCUUUCUGAUGAUAUAUUCUUAGAUUGUGUGGAUAAACCCGAGGUUGCGAAACAACUGCAUGAUGAGUUCCAAGGCUUGGUGUUGGAUGUAAACUGGCAUCCGUUCAAAGUUGUUCAAGUUGACGGGUACCGAUUUAUCAGCUGUCUGAAAACAAUGAAAGGCUAGAAAAACUUAGAGCAUAUGGGGAGGAAGGAGAAGCUGCCAUUAUUGCUGUUAUCGCCCCAAAGAGGGAACUGAUUGAAUUUAACUCGAGGGGCUGUUAUAAGAUUUCCAAAAUUUGGAACUUCGAUGAAUAUAGAGAAGCUAGUACAAGCUAUAAAGACUCGGAGAUAUGAUGACAGAUUUAUUCGUGACACAAUCCGUGCUUAUUUGAAGUUAGAGGUAACAUCAUUCCACAAAAUUCAUGUGUUCCUCCACGAUCGGCUGAACCAAAAAGC